CUUCUAAGAGAUCGCUGUCUUUCUUGAACUAAGGAGCCCAGAACUGGACACAGUACUCCAGCACAGGCCUGGAAGAGCACACAAUUGAAAAGUUCGAGACUGCAGAAAAAAAAGUGAUUCCAUAAGUCCAAACACCAUUAUUCUGCUGGACAGAUACUCUGCAGCUCAUUCAGAUGGAGGAAUUUUUGGAUGAUCAUCAUGCAAGAUGAAAACAAAAAUUUUCCACAAGAAGACCUCAGUCACUUUGUCCAAAAUUAUAACUAAAGAGUUUCCCCUUAGGCCUACUAUAUAUACUACCUGCAGACUAAGCUACAGAGAAGCAGAGCAGCAGUUCUCUGAUUUAUCUGUGGGCCAUUUUUCCCACAGAGUUGGAGUCAUAAUGGCAUGACUCUAUACAAAAUGCUUCAAACAUAAAUUCAGCUCAGGAGAGUAAUUGAUGUCAUUGCAGGUACAGCCCUUUUCUGGAGGCUUGCUGUACUAUUCCACUUGUGAGUUAACUGCCAGAGAUAGUUGUCCUAGGGGCAGCAGAUGUACUACAUGAGGAAUUCUGCUGUCUGGACUGUAUGUUCCCAAGUAGCCAUGCUGAUAAUUUGUUCAUUUUUGAGAUAGAGUUGCUAUAAAGAGUCUUCCUAUGACUAUAUACAUGAUUUAAGGAAAAAUAAAAGUACAUCAUAUUAAUAUCAAUUCUAUGUUAAAACAAUUGCUCUGUUUGAUUAUGAGUCCUCAUUCCAAAAAGAAUUUUGAGGAGUUUCUCUACAGAAUUAUCAGCUCCCUCUAGUUAUUUGACUUUCAUUGCAUGUCUGAUGGGAUUGUACCCUCUAAAAUUUGUGGAUGCUUGCAUAUAUAAUCCAAGAUUUUACACUGCCGAAAAGUUAGCUUCACUGGAGCAAGAGAACUUCUGAGUGAAAGAGUUCAGAUCAAAUUAAAAGAUCUGCUGAUCCUGAGAUGCCAAAAUCAGACAAAAGAAAAAUAAUCUAAUGACACAGGUAGAAGACUUUUACAGUCCAAAGAUCUGGAAGGAUAGCUAUUUAUCAUCUGAAGCCAUUUGGAGCUUAGAAUGAUUAAAUAACAGGAGUUUUAUAGUAAUUUGUUGUCUUUAGGAUUCAGAGAAACUUCCUGAAAAGUCAUACGUGCAUUCCUACACAAUACUUACGAAUACCAGACAUUACGUAUUCAAUGAACUAAUUAAAUGUACUAACUAAUAAAAUGUACUAGCUCUUCAAAUUGAGGUAAGAUUACAAUUUUUUUAUCAUUUUAUUCAAUAUGCCAUUUCUGGCAGAGUUUUUAUUAGUUCCAGGUUUUAUAACCAUUUCUCUAAUCUCUCCAGAAAUACAGUAGAGGAGAAAAGAAUUACUGGGAGCAAACAUCCUUGGUAAUCCCUCCAUUUUGUACUUUGCAGAUAGCUGAAUUUUGCUUUUAGCAAGAACGUGCUUUUUUUCAAGUCUUAACCACAUAGUACAGUCAUUUAGUAGACAAUGUGCUAGUUAAAUCAGAAGCUCUUUAAAGAAGGUGGUCUAUUUGAACAGAAAUGUAAAUGACAUGCUGUUUUUCAUAUUUCCUAAAAUGAUUUUACACUGAUUUAUUUAUAUUUCACAUACAUAGGCCUCCCUUUCUUGACUUUGUGUAAUGAAUUUCAAGUGUAUUCUUCCAAAAAUAUCUUCUGGAUUCCUUCAUAUUGCUUAUUAAGCAGUACUGCAUAUCUGUUAUCCACUAGAAAUUUAUUCAUGUUUUAACACUCCAGUUAGUAAAAAAAAAUUAAAAAAAAGAAAUACAAAUACAGAUUAAAUUACAGACCUGUGAAUUGUUUAUGUGAAAUGUAUCCUGAUACAGAAUCGCAGAAUGUCGGGGAUUGGAAAGGACCUCGAAAGAUCAUCUAGUCAAUCCCCCUACCGCAGCAGGAACACCUAGAUUAGGUUACACAGGAAUGCGUCCAGGCAGAUUUGGAUGUCUCACUAUGAAGUUGUGUGUCACUGUCUCACUAUUGUCUCACUAUUAGCCUCACAGUGAAUAAGUUUUUUCUAGUAUUUAUGUGGAACCUCCUAUGUUCUAGCUUGCACCCAUUGCCCCUUGUCCUGCCAUUGGAUGUCACUGAGAAGAGCCUGGCUCCAUCCUCCUGACACUCACCUUUUACAUAUUUAUAAACAUUAAUGAGGUCACCCCUCAGUCUUCUCUUCCCCAAGCUGAAGAAACUGAGCUCCCUCAGCCUUUCCUCGUAAGAGAGAUGCUCCACUCCCUUAAUCAUCUUUGUGGUUCUGCACUGGACUCUCUCAAGCAGUUCCUUGCCCUUCCUGAACUGAAGAGCCCAGAACUGGACACAGUACUCCAGAUGCGGUCUUACCAGGGCAUGGCAGAGAGGGAAGAGAACCUCUCUUGACCUACUAACCACACUCCAAUACACCCCAGGAUGCCACUGGCCUUCUUGGCCACAAGCACACAGUGCUGGCUCAUGGUCAUCCUGCUGUCCACCAGGACCCCCAAGUCCCUUUCACCUACACUGCUCUCCAAUAGGUCAGUCCCCAGCAUACACUGGUACAUGGGGUUGUUUUUGCAUCUGGAUAAGAACAGCACCAUAUUCACAAUAUCAUGUGAAAUUUCCAUUCACAGCUGGCACCUUAAAAUGCCUGUAUGCUGUACUAAUCCUAUUAAUUUUAUAGGAUUAAACUAUUGAAAAAAACCCAUAAUGAUACAUAUGUGACUUCGAGCAAGUCACUUCUCUCUGCUCUUUAUAAUUCUUUUUUAUGGAAAAAAAAAAUGGCAUUGGGAUGGAGGAUCCAGAGAAGUCAAUGUUCUUUAAUUAGGCUUUUAAAUAAUUACGAGUACUAAGAAUACUGCAUGUUAUGUGUGCAAAGUACAGUUCUGUACAUUAAAAAUAUGUUGUAAUUGAACUCAUUGUAACCACUGCAGUACCUAUAAUCACAAUUAUUUCCUUAUGAAAUAUUGGAGUAAAACAGGAACUCUACAUUAGUAGAAGUCUAAAGAUAAUCACUACAAAGAAUCUCUUUCUGGCUUCUGUACCUCCAUAGUAUCUUCGUGGCCAAGAUGGACAUAUGUCUGAUAAACUGCAUCCACAUAAAUAUAUUUGAUCCACUGUAACUGUAAAUUACUGUUCUUAUGCAACUGUAAGUGCAAUCCUAAAAUAUGCUGAGUGUCCCUUGGUUUUGGGCAAUCAAAGAAAAAUAACACUAACAUUUCAAAGUUUGGGAAUUAUUCACUAUAGUGCUGAUGUGGUUCUAAUUUAAGCUGAUCUCCUACCAAUCUUUCCUAAGGAAAAAUUAAUUUUUAGGUGUGAUCUUAAGUAUCAGUAUAAAGAAAAUUAAUUAAAUUUGAUCUGGGUUAGUGUCUUGUGUUCAUUACUAUUAAAAAGCACAAAACUGUUUAGGCUUUGACACAGAAAAUGUUUUCAUAAAAUAUCCUU
Long non-coding RNA from Numida meleagris (helmeted guineafowl), 3415 nucleotides. RefSeq lists it as uncharacterized. The transcript is spliced from 3 exons. The record is from RefSeq and is a predicted model, not a curated record. Lineage: Eukaryota; Metazoa; Chordata; Aves; Galliformes; Numididae.